CCUACGGGUGGCUGCAGUGAGGAAUAUUGGUCAAUGGGCGCGAGCCUGAACCAGCCCAGUAGCGUGAAGGAUGACUGCCCUACGGGUUGUAAACUUCUUUUAUACAGGAAUAAAGUGAGGCACGUGUGCCUUUUUGUAUGUACUUUAUGAAUAAGGAUCGGCUAACUCCGUGCCAGCAGCCGCGGUAAUACGGAGGAUCCGAGCGUUAUCCGGAUUUCUUGGGUUUAAAGGGAGCGUAGAUGGGUUGUUAAGUCAGUUGUGAAAGUUUGCGGCUCAACCGUAAAAUUGCAAUGGAUACUGGCAGUCUUGAGUACAGUUGAGGUAGGCGGAAUUCGUGGUGUAGCGGUGAAAUGCUUAGAUAUCACGAAGAACCCCGAUUGCGAAGGCAGCUUACUAAACUGUGACUGACAUUGAUGCUCGAAAGUGUGGGUAUCAAACAGGAGUAGAUACCCCAGUAGUC
RNAcentral lists this ribosomal RNA (460 nucleotides) under uncultured bacterium. Its description in RNAcentral is "partial 16S ribosomal RNA". It matches the Rfam family "Bacterial small subunit ribosomal RNA", at positions 338 to 795 of the family's 1533-position model. The record is from RNAcentral.